UGGUGAUGGUGAUGGUGAUGAUGAUGGUGAUGGUGAUGGUGAUGGUGAUGGUGAUGCCAUGCCAUCAUCAUCAGAAUCAUCCCGUUCU
Molecule: microRNA precursor, 88 nt
Filed under: Amborella trichopoda
Lineage: Eukaryota; Viridiplantae; Streptophyta; Magnoliopsida; Amborellales; Amborellaceae
Description: pre miRNA mir-598
Source: RNAcentral